Long non-coding RNA from Polypterus senegalus (gray bichir), 576 nucleotides. RefSeq lists it as uncharacterized. The record is from RefSeq and is a predicted model, not a curated record. NCBI's taxonomy places the organism in Eukaryota, Metazoa, Chordata, Cladistia, Polypteriformes, Polypteridae. The transcript has 3 exons.
CCGGGGCUCACCAAGCGUCUUAACGAAAGUAAUAACAUCACAAAAGAUACACCCACUGGGCGGAAAAGCUGACGCGACUUUCUGCAACGUAGAGAUAAACCUGAAGGGAAAUUCUGGUCACGCGCUUUGUUUUUGGAGGAACGGUUGUAACAACUUUGCCGUUUUGAUCCUGCCUAUGAAUGGACAUGCUGGUGGAAUUCUAUCUCCUCAUUGGUUUUGGUAUUCCCCAGGAAGAGCUGGAAUCUGUAACAAGAGACUGGGAAGUCUGUGCUGACCUGCUUGGCUUGCUGCUCCAAUUCUAUGAGGAAAAGAGAUUUCAGAAAAUGAGAUGAGAGGUUGUGACCAAUGCUCUGAAGAUCCCAGGCAAGAGAAUUGCUUUCUAGAGGAAACAAAUGCAAAUUUCCCUCUAGUACUCCAGCUUUGGUCCAAGAGGAUUAAUUGUGAAUUAAAAUCCUUUGUCAGAGUACCCAGCUGAAUCAGUGGGUGUGCGAUUUAAUUACGCAGUCAAAGUUACACCAUAUCGUGGAGAUUUGUUUACCAUGUAUCAGACUGAAAUUCUUAGUACAACAUUGUGAA